CCCAGAGAAGGCGUAGCGGCGGGGGUGAGUACACGUGGGUAACCUGCCUGUAAGACUGGGAUAACUCCGGGAAACCGGAGCUAAUACCGGAUAGUUCCUUGAACCGCAUGGUUCAAGGAUGAAAGACGGUUUCGGCUGUCACUUACAGAUGGACCCGCGGCGCAUUAGCUAGUUGGUGAGGUAACGGCUCACCAAGGCGACGAUGCGUAGCCGACCUGAGAGGGUGAUCGGCCACACUGGGACUGAGACACGGCCCAGACUCCUACGGGAGGCAGCAGUAGGGAAUCUUCCGCAAUGGACGAAAGUCUGACGGAGCAACGCCGCGUGAGUGAUGAAGGUUUUCGGAUCGUAAAGCUCUGUUGUUAGGGAAGAACAAGUGCAAGAGUAACUGCUUGCACCUUGACGGUACCUAACCAGAAAGCCACGGCUAACUACGUGCCAGCAGCCGCGGUAAUACGUAGGUGGCAAGCGUUGUCCGGAAUUAUUGGGCGUAAAGGGCUCGCAGGCGGUUUCUUAAGUCUGAUGUGAAAGCCCCCGGCUCAACCGGGGAGGGUCAUUG
This 559-nucleotide ribosomal RNA is filed under the name Bacillus pumilus. RNAcentral describes it as "bacterial SSU rRNA". It matches the Rfam family "Bacterial small subunit ribosomal RNA", at positions 79 to 628 of the family's 1533-position model. Lineage: Bacteria; Bacillati; Bacillota; Bacilli; Caryophanales; Bacillaceae. The record is from RNAcentral.